UCGUGCUAGGCGGGGAGCUAGCGGUGCCCUGUAACUCACAAUCCGCUAUAGUGAGGCUGAAUUCCAGAACUGAGACUUUUGAUGGUAAGGUUUGUGCUAUUAUAAGUGGUUAUGAAGGUUGGGUCUUAUGCGGCAAAGUCUUAUAAACCCCGUCAGAUCCGAGAGGAAGCAGCGGUAAGUAAGUAGCUUUGGGUGACAUAAGGAAACCUGGCUGGAGCUAACUGUAAUGGUAACACUUGUUAUUAAAAUUCAAAGUCUGGUGCACGG
This 267-nucleotide signal recognition particle RNA is filed under the name Actinomycetota bacterium. RNAcentral describes it as "Actinobacteria bacterium signal recognition particle sRNA large type". It matches the Rfam family "Bacterial large signal recognition particle RNA". From Rfam's summary of the family: The signal recognition particle (SRP) is a universally conserved ribonucleoprotein involved in the co-translational targeting of proteins to membranes. The record is from RNAcentral. Lineage: Bacteria; Bacillati; Actinomycetota.